Passer domesticus (house sparrow) is the source of this 1752-nucleotide long non-coding RNA. RefSeq lists it as uncharacterized. The transcript is spliced from 6 exons. Lineage: Eukaryota; Metazoa; Chordata; Aves; Passeriformes; Passeridae. The record is from RefSeq and is a predicted model, not a curated record.
UUUUACCCCAGGAUUCCAGCUAAACAUGGAAAGGACUGAACCAUGGGUUGGACAUGGGCCAUGGCUCAAAAGAACAGUACAGCCUGAGAAAGGAUAAGUAAAGAAGGGAAGAAACAGAGAGGGGUUUGAAGCAGCAAUGCCAGCGAAAUGGACACGCAAACAGCACACAAGGGGAAACUGUGGUCACCAGAGGAACCUGUGCUGAUGGUGUGGACACAAGCAGAUAGACAAAAGCCUGUGCUCUCUCACCCAGCUCCUCCCCUAAGCCAUGCAGCAGGAAUCACAGGCAAGAGCAGCCACUAGAAAGAUGGUAGGAAGAUAGAGCCAGCAAGCUUCUUCCAGGAUCACUGCAUGAAAGGAGACCUGAAGGAUGUUCCAUGCUUACUUUUGUAAUCAAGGUUUUUGUUCUGAAGUUUGGGAUUUCAUUCCAACUCACAGGCCCCAAAUGUAGUAAUUAUGAAGAGCACCCAAUGUUUUACAUAAGUUCUUAAAAAAACUAUUCCUGUGACAAGUAGUCUUCCUGACCUCUCUGACUACCCCCAAUUGCCUUCAUAAUUAAUACAGAAUUUUAAAAGUCAUUCAGUCAGACAGCAAAUUUUACACUGCUGGAAGUCUUGAGGGUAAGUGUUCAAGAUACCAAAGAAAGGAAGCUCUGACUCAGCCAGGAUGUUUAAUGAUCAAAGAAGAAAGAGCACCUAACACAACACAGCUUCUGCAGUUCAAAACACAGUGAAAGUUCUUCUUGAGGUGAUGUUGUUUCUAUGCAACAGACUCAACUCAUAAGUACAUCAGAAGAACCAAUAGUGGCCAUUUGUCCUCAUAAACACAGAUCUGUGAGAUGGCACAAAGGUACUUCACCACUUGCCAACCUCUAUUUCUCCCCACACGACUGCAAAACAAAAACCAAACCAUGAUGCGCUAUCCCCGUCUCUUCUUGGAAUGGAGUCCCUCUAUGACACAUUCUCCUGUGUGAUUUUAAAUAAGCAAACAAAAAAGCUUCAUAGAUUGUUUUUUUAACUUCUCUUAUGUUCAAGCUGCACUUGGUUCCUGCAAAGGCUGGAGAGAUCUGGUCUGUGAAUCACUAAUGUCAAUAACUGCAGGGUUGAAAAAAAUUCCUGAGCCAGACAACAAGGUGUCCUCCAUUUGCCAGCUAUGAAACUGAAUUAGAAGACAAACAACGUCACUAGUUUCGGGCUGUCAUGUUUUCUAUCUCAGCUUCAUGAUCCUGACAUCAAGCAUCUUCACAUCUCUGACACCUCCUUGAUCCCAGCUUCAGCACAAUCAAGAUCUACAUGUCUUGAAGCCUGCAUGUUCCUUUUUUUUGUCAUCCCAAUGACUAACUGGAGAGCAGAGGAUUUAGCGAAGUACUUGGCUAUAAACAGCAGCAAAACACAUCAAAUGGUACUAAGAGAAACUAUUUACAUCUAAUUUGAGCAACCCAAUGCAUCACAGCUUGUCUCUGGCUCCCAAAGGUUGCUUGAAGGCUUAUGAGAACACAAAACAUAUGGAGGCUCAAAACUUCACACAGAAGCCUAUCCAGCUGUACUAUUUACAUAAACAGACCCCAGGUCACCUCCUAUUUGCAUUGAUGACCUCGGGUAGGGGUGCAACAACUAAAAUGGUGACAGAACUGCCCGGGCAAGUAACCUGAAGGAAGGGUGCAUAACUCCUCUCUCAUAGCUUGCUGAAAGCUGGAGGGCUCUCACCUGCUGCUCACUCUACUGCUUUACACUGGUUUAAUAAACCAAUAAA